This is a long non-coding RNA of Hyalella azteca, 445 nucleotides long. RefSeq lists it as uncharacterized. The record is from RefSeq and is a predicted model, not a curated record. The transcript has 2 exons. NCBI's taxonomy places the organism in Eukaryota, Metazoa, Arthropoda, Malacostraca, Amphipoda, Hyalellidae.
CCUGCUGGGUCGUCCCCGCUGCCUGUACGGCCGCAGGAUGUUGCGGAGCCGAAACCAGUGUCUUCUGAGCCCGAACAUCCGGAAGAGAGGCCUCCUUCUCCCAUAAUCAGAAAGUCAACACGUUCACGAAAGCCUCCUGAACGCUAUGGCUAUGAAUAGACUGAAUUAGCAAUAUAUAAAUAUUCCUUUUGUACUGCUGCUAACCUUUCACGAAAUAUUCGAUUGUAAGACUAUAUGAUAGAUUGACAAUCGUAGCAACAAAAUUUAGGAGGGGAGAAUGUCGUAAUAAAGAACUAGUGCGUGACGUCAUGUAGCAAGUUGUAAUGUGGUCCGGCUGCGACUAGGUGUUGUCAGUCUCUAUGCAAUAGCCAGUACGAAUGGACCUGACCCCUGCUGUUCUAUGAUGUAACUGGGCAUUUGUUCAGUAAAGCUUGGAUUGCCCAAG